GAUGAACGCUGGCGGCGUGCCUAAUACAUGCAAGUCGAGCGAACGGACGAGGAGCUUGCUCCUCUGACGUUAGCGGCGGACGGGUGAGUAACACGUGGAUAACCUACCUAUAAGACUGGGAUAACUUCGGGAAACCGGAGCUAAUACCGGAUAAUAUAUUGAACCGCAUGGUUCAUUAGUGAAAGACGGUUUUGCUGUCACUUAUAGAUGGAUCCGCGCUGCAUUAGCUAGUUGGUAAGGUAACGGCUUACCAAGGCGACGAUGCGUAGCCGACCUGAGAGGGUGAUCGGCCACACUGGAACUGAGACACGGUCCAGACUCCUACGGGAGGCAGCAGUAGGGAAUCUUCCGCAAUGGGCGAAAGCCUGACGGAGCAACGCCGCGUGAGUGAUGAAGGUCUUCGGAUCGUAAAACUCUGUUAUUAGGGAAGAACAAAUGUGUAAGUAACUAUGCACGUCUUGACGGUACCUAAUCAGAAAGCCACGGCUAACUACGUG
Molecule: ribosomal RNA, 497 nt
Filed under: uncultured bacterium
Lineage: Bacteria
Description: partial 16S ribosomal RNA
Rfam family: Bacterial small subunit ribosomal RNA
Source: RNAcentral